AGGGACUAUGUAUCUCGGCUGGCCUUGAACGCCUUGGGCUCCCCCCGGAGGAGCUGGAGGUGUCUGGGGUGAGGGACGUCUGGGUGUCACUACUACAUCUGCUGCCACCGCAACCCAGUCCCAGAUGAAGCGGAAGACAACGAGUAUGAGUACGAAGAAAUUUGGCAUUUAUGUUGAUUGAUUACACUGAUUACAUUGAUCUCUUUCUGUUACACUGUAUUGCAAUAAGCACAAGAAUAUAUUUGUUUUUCUAAAUAGUAAAUUACAUGUUUUGUUUUUUCUAUUGGAUGCUGAAUUUAAUUAAAAUGUGAAAAUAUGCCAGUCCAUCGUUGCAAUGAACUGGGAUAUUUUGACAUGUCCAGGGUGUACCCUGCCUCUCGCCCAUAGACUGCUGGAAAUAGACUCCCUAGUGACCCACUAUGUAAUAAGAAGAUGAAUGAAUGAAUGUCAAAAUAUGAUUUCUGACAAUGUUAAAAGAAUAAAACUAAUGAAAAUCCAAAAUUAAUUUUCACAGAAAAGGAAAUUACUUUGGAUAAAUAAAAAUAGAUAUUUUAAAAGACUUCAGAUUUCCCAGUUGCCGAGCAGGUAGAGAUUGACAAGCUUCACCUAAAGGUAAGCCACAAAAGGUGAUUGCUAAAGAAGCUGGCUUGUCAGAGUGACUAAUUAUAGUAAUGGGAAUGUUAAUAAAAAGCAAAAUUGAAGGUAGAAAAAGGUCCUAAAGCAACUGGGAUAACUGUUGCCUUAAGAUAAUUGUGGAUAAAAGCCAAUGCAAGAGUUUGGCAUGGACCUUAGCUUGAGUGAGUGCUUUAAAAACCACUAUACACAGACAUUUCCAGGACCACUGUUUAAACGGUCACAUCCCCUGUGUUAAGCCACUCCUGAAUCGGAGACAACUUCAGGACCAUCUUAUCUGGGCUAAGGAGUAAAAAGGACUGGCCAGUGGUCCAAAUCUCUCUUUUCAAAUGAAAGUACAUUUUACGUUUAAUUUAGAAAUCAAAGUGGCAGAAUCCAUAGAAAGAGUGGAGAGGCAAAGAAUCCAAGUUGCUUGAGGUUCAGUGUGAAGUUUCCACAAUCCACAAACAUUUGGGGAACCAUGUCAUCUACCGAUCUGGAUCUACUGUGUUUUAUCCAGUCUAAAAUCAGUGCAGCUGUCAGGAAGUUGUAUGCUACUCUCUGCUGAUAAGCUUUAUUAAAAUUCUAGUUUGGUUUUAUUAUUAGGACUUGGCUCCUUACCUUCAGAAGUACCAAUACUUUAUUGACAAUCGUACCACUUGAGCUGGCUUGACCCAAACCCCACAGAAAUACUUUGGGCUAUUGUCAAGAAGAAGAUUAGAGACUGCAGGGUCUUCAUGCCACACGGCAUUCAGGCAUUCAUGCAACAGGAACUGUCACAAUCUCUUUGUAUUACUCUAUGUGAUUUACCUGUCGUCCCGGAGAGACUUUACUGAUGGGCACACCUGUAUCCAAUCUCUGGCUGGAGCGUUUUUAAGGAGCUGCAGGACAAGUAUUCUUCUGUUGGAAUAAUUGUAUAUAGAUUUAUCUUACAUUUGCUCUACUAUUUGACCUUUAUAAACUUUCAUGUUGUAUGUGUAAGCAAACGUGUGAUGAGUUGUUUGCAGGCAAGGAGGAAAGGUGGAAUCAAGAUGAUGCAGUCACAGUUGAGGACAUCACAAAGACAAUGGCUGAUUGUGCUGAACAAAGAAUGCACAUACCUUAAGAUUAUGGAGACUAUGCAAGCUUUGUUUUGUACAAGAUAAUGGUGUUCAUGAUCUAUGUCACGUUGCUGCUGUUUGUUCCCCCAUCCUUCAGAGCAGCAACGUUCAUUGUAACUAUGGACCAACCUAAAUAAAAAGACGAUUCGGAGAGAUGGUUUUCAGAGCGGUAUUUUAGGUUGAUUAAACCUGACACUUCGCCUGAUGCUCCACGUUGAGUGGUCGUAUGGAUCACAACUCUGGAUACACAACCUUCACAGAAACUCAGGACCUCAUCUACCGGCUGCCUCUGCAGGCUCCUACCGAAUCCUCCAGCCUGCCCGCUCUCCAACAAUAACUGGGAUUAAUUUUUUCUGACUCUCUGGACUUCUGGCCCACAGAUAGUGCCCAAGACCCCCCCGAGAUCUUUGCUACCAGGAGACCACAAGCCUGAGAACCAAGACUCAACGACCAGAGACAGUUAUUCUUUGAGAUAAUUAACCUUUUGAACUUACUGGUGUCCUUAAGUGAUUCUGCAUGUGGGUCAGGAAACUCUGCUAAUAUGACAGGAAUAUUGACCAUGGGUGUAUUCAUUGUACUUUACAUAGACAUGCAUUUCAGUAGGCUGUCAUUUCUGUAUUAAUUGGUCUGAAAUUUUAAACAAUUCUGAGAAACUAAAUUUUGGGUUUUUGGUAUCUAAAAAUCAAUUCAAUCCCAUUCAAUUCAAUUCAGUUUUAUUUAUAUAGUGCCAAUUCACAACACAUGCUGUCUCAAGGUACUUCACAAAGGGUUUGGAAUGGUGCGGGUUUGUUGGGGAGGUUAGA
This is a long non-coding RNA of Girardinichthys multiradiatus, 2515 nucleotides long. RefSeq lists it as uncharacterized. Lineage: Eukaryota; Metazoa; Chordata; Actinopteri; Cyprinodontiformes; Goodeidae. The transcript is spliced from 3 exons. The record is from RefSeq and is a predicted model, not a curated record.